Long non-coding RNA from Pyrgilauda ruficollis (rufous-necked snowfinch), 377 nucleotides. RefSeq lists it as uncharacterized. The record is from RefSeq and is a predicted model, not a curated record. NCBI's taxonomy places the organism in Eukaryota, Metazoa, Chordata, Aves, Passeriformes, Passeridae. The transcript has 4 exons.
CAGCAGCCAAGCAACCUGAUCUGCUGGCAGCAAGAUGGAGGAGCUGCACGUAGGAAGAUACGGGAGGGAGCAAUGAUCUGUCUGGGGAAGUGGGAUUUCAGCACAGCUCCAAGCACAGAUGCACUGGCAGUUUCAGCAAAAAGCUCAAAUACUUGAAUCCAGCCGCUCUUCUUGUCAUCACUGAGCUCGCAAAAUCCUAGAAAUAAUUCUUUAUGCACCAAGUGACAGACCUCUGUGGAGCCUGUACACAGCUCUGCCAGCAACAGAGAAGUAAAUUGGCUGUAUUGGUCUAUUACCCACUUACUGCUGCUGAGAAAUACGUGUCUGAACAGCUGUCAAGGCAAAGCCGUGUGAAUCAUUAAAACGGCUUCUCAGCU